RNAcentral lists this ribosomal RNA (465 nucleotides) under Vreelandella stevensii. RNAcentral's name for it is "partial 16S ribosomal RNA". It matches the Rfam family "Bacterial small subunit ribosomal RNA", at positions 338 to 795 of the family's 1533-position model. The record is from RNAcentral. Lineage: Bacteria; Pseudomonadati; Pseudomonadota; Gammaproteobacteria; Oceanospirillales; Halomonadaceae.
CCUACGGGGGGCUGCAGUGGGGAAUAUUGGACAAUGGGGGCAACCCUGAUCCAGCCAUGCCGCGUGUGUGAAGAAGGCCCUCGGGUUGUAAAGCACUUUCAGUGAGGAAGAACGCCUGGUGGUUAAUACCCAUCAGGAAAGACAUCACUCACAGAAGAAGCACCGGCUAACUCCGUGCCAGCAGCCGCGGUAAUACGGAGGGUGCGAGCGUUAAUCGGAAUUACUGGGCGUAAAGCGCGCGUAGGUGGCUUGAUAAGCCGGUUGUGAAAGCCCCGGGCUCAACCUGGGAACGGCAUCCGGAACUGUCAAGCUAGAGUGCAGGAGAGGAAGGUAGAAUUCCCGGUGUAGCGGUGAAAUGCGUAGAGAUCGGGAGGAAUACCAGUGGCGAAGGCGGCCUUAUGGACUGACACUGACACUGAGGUGCGAAAGCGUGGGUAGCAAACAGGAUUAGAUAUCCUAGUAGUC